Molecule: ribosomal RNA, 845 nt
Filed under: Bacillus amyloliquefaciens
Lineage: Bacteria; Bacillati; Bacillota; Bacilli; Caryophanales; Bacillaceae
Description: bacterial SSU rRNA
Rfam family: Bacterial small subunit ribosomal RNA
Source: RNAcentral
CUGUUGUUAGCGGCGGACGGGUGAGUAACACGUGGGUAACCUGCCUGUAAGACUGGGAUAACUCCGGGAAACCGGGGCUAAUACCGGAUGCUUGUUUGAACCGCAUGGUUCAAACAUAAAAGGUGGCUUCGGCUACCACUUACAGAUGGACCCGCGGCGCAUUAGCUAGUUGGUGAGGUAACGGCUCACCAAGGCAACGAUGCGUAGCCGACCUGAGAGGGUGAUCGGCCACACUGGGACUGAAACACGGCCCAGACUCCUACGGGAGGCAGCAGUAGGGAAUCUUCCGCAAUGGACGAAAGUCUGACGGAGCAACGCCGCGUGAGUGAUGAAGGUUUUCGGAUCGUAAAGCUCUGUUGUUAGGGAAGAACAAGUGCCGUUCAAAUAGGGCGGCACCUUGACGGUACCUAACCAGAAAGCCACGGCUAACUACGUGCCAGCAGCCGCGGUAAUACGUAGGUGGCAAGCGUUGUCCGGAAUUAUUGGGCGUAAAGGGCUCGCAGGCGGUUUCUUAAGUCUGAUGUGAAAGCCCCCGGCUCAACCGGGGAGGGUCAUUGGAAACUGGGGAACUUGAGUGCAGAAGAGGAGAGUGGAAUUCCACGUGUAGCGGUGAAAUGCGUAGAGAUGUGGAGGAACACCAGUGGCGAAGGCGACUCUCUGGUCUGUAACCGACGCUGAGGAGCGAAAGCGUGGGGAGCGAACAGGAUUAGAUACCCUGGUAGUCCACGCCGUAAACGAUGAGUGCUAAGUGUUAGGGGGUUUCCGCCCCUUAGUGCUGCAGCUAACGCAUUAAGCACUCCGCCUGGGGAGUACGGUCGCAAGACUGAAACUCAAAGGAAUUGACG